CACGCCGUAAACGAUGGGUGCUAGGUGUGGGGGGUGUCGACUCCCUCCGUGCCGAAGCUAACGCAUUAAGCACCCCGCCUGGGGAGUACGGCCGCAAGGCUAAAACUCAAAGGAAUUGACGGGGGCCCGCACAAGCAGCGGAGCAUGUGGUUUAAUUCGACGCAACGCGAAGAACCUUACCUGGGCUUGACAUGCACGGGAAUGUCGUAGAAAUACGGCAGCCUUUCGGGGCUCGUGUACAGGUGUUGCAUGGCUGUAGUCAGCUCGUGUCGUGAGAUGUUGGGUUAAGUCGCGCAACGAGCUAAACCCCUAAUUAUGUUUCCAGCUUU
This 329-nucleotide ribosomal RNA is filed under the name uncultured bacterium. RNAcentral describes it as "bacterial SSU rRNA". It matches the Rfam family "Bacterial small subunit ribosomal RNA", at positions 796 to 1125 of the family's 1533-position model. The record is from RNAcentral.